This 75-nucleotide transfer RNA is filed under the name Profundicola chukchiensis. It matches the Rfam family "tRNA". From Rfam's summary of the family: Transfer RNA (tRNA) molecules are approximately 80 nucleotides in length. Their secondary structure includes four short double-helical elements and three loops (D, anti-codon, and T loops). Further hydrogen bonds mediate the characteristic L-shaped molecular structure. tRNAs have two regions of fundamental functional importance: the anti-codon, which is responsible for specific mRNA codon recognition, and the 3' end, to which the tRNAs corresponding amino acid is attached (by aminoacyl-tRNA synthetases). tRNAs cope with the degeneracy of the genetic code in two manners: having more than one tRNA (with a specific anti-codon) for a particular amino acid; and 'wobble' base-pairing, i.e. permitting non-standard base-pairing at the 3rd anti-codon position. The record is from Rfam by way of RNAcentral. Lineage: Bacteria; Pseudomonadati; Bacteroidota; Flavobacteriia; Flavobacteriales; Weeksellaceae.
GGGAUCAUAGCUCAGUUGGUUCAGAGCAUCUGCCUUACAAGCAGAGGGUCGGGGGUUCGAAUCCCUCUGAUCCCA